Molecule: non-coding RNA, 108 nt
Organism: Schizothecium vesticola
Lineage: Eukaryota; Fungi; Ascomycota; Sordariomycetes; Sordariales; Schizotheciaceae
Source: the annotation of a GenBank genome assembly
GGUUGUAUAGUGUAGCGGUCAUCACAUCGGAUUCUGAUGUCCUCCUCCUCCUCCCCGUGGAGAGAACCAGACAUUCCGGGAACCCCGGUUCGAUUCCGGGUACGACCU